UGGGGAAUCUUAGACAAUGGGCGCAAGCCUGAUCUAGCCAUGCCGCGUGAUCGAUGAAGGCCUUAGGGUUGUAAAGAUCUUUCAGUUGGGAAGAUAAUGACUGUACCAACAGAAGAAGCCCCGGCUAACUCCGUGCCAGCAGCCGCGGUAAUACGGAGGGGGCUAGCGUUAUUCGGAAUUACUGGGCGUAAAGCGCACGUAGGCGGACUGGCAAGUUAGGGGUGAAAUCCCAGGGCUCAACCUUGGAACUGCCCUUAAAACUGCUGGUCUUGAGUUCGAGAGAGGUAAGUGGAAUUCCGAGUGUAGAGGUGAAAUUCGUAGAUAUUCGGAGGAACACCAGUGGCGAAGGCGGCUUACUGGCUCGAUACUGACGCUGAGGUGCGAAAGCGUGGGGAGCAAACA
Molecule: ribosomal RNA, 402 nt
Filed under: uncultured Paracoccaceae bacterium
Lineage: Bacteria; Pseudomonadati; Pseudomonadota; Alphaproteobacteria; Rhodobacterales; Paracoccaceae
Description: bacterial SSU rRNA
Rfam family: Bacterial small subunit ribosomal RNA
Source: RNAcentral